GACCUCAGAUCGGGUGGGACUACCCGCUGAACUUAAGCAUAUCAAUAAGCGGAGGAAAAGAAACUAACAAGGAUUCCCCUAGUAACGGCGAGUGAAGAGGGAAAAGCUCAAAUUUUGAAUCCGACGUCUUCGGCGUCCGAGUUGUAAUCUAGAGAAGUGUUUUCCGUGUCGGACCGUGCAAAAGUUUCCCUGGAACGGGGCGUCAUAGAGGGUGAGAAUCCCGUAUAUGGCACGGACUCCCGGUGCUCUAUGAUACACUCUCAACGAGUCGAGUUGUUUGGGAAUGCAGCUCAAAAUGGGUGGUAAAUUCCAUCUAAAGCUAAAUAUUGGCGAGAGACCGAUAGCGAACAAGUACCGUGAGGGAAAGAUGAAAAGCACUUUGGAAAGAGAGUGAAACAGUACGUGAAAUUGUUGAAAGGGAAGCGUUUGAAGUCAGUCACGUCUGUCGGGAUUCAGCCUGGCUUCUGCCUGGUGUACUUUCCGGCUGACGGGUCA
This 495-nucleotide ribosomal RNA is filed under the name uncultured fungus. RNAcentral describes it as "eukaryotic LSU rRNA". It matches the Rfam family "Eukaryotic large subunit ribosomal RNA", at positions 1 to 496 of the family's 3401-position model. Lineage: Eukaryota; Fungi. The record is from RNAcentral.